Molecule: ribosomal RNA, 253 nt
Filed under: uncultured bacterium
Lineage: Bacteria
Description: partial 16S ribosomal RNA
Rfam family: Bacterial small subunit ribosomal RNA
Source: RNAcentral
UACAGAGGUCUCAAGCGUUGUUCGGAUUCAUUGGGCGUAAAGGGUGCGUAGGCGGCGCGGUAAGUCGGGUGUGAAAUCUUGGAGCUUAACUCCGAAACUGCAUUCGAUACCGCCGUGCUUGAGGACUGGAGAGGAGACUGGAAUUUACGGUGUAGCGGUGAAAUGCGUAGAUAUCGUAAGGAAGACCAGUGGCGAAGGCGGGUCUCUGGGCAGUUCCUGACGCUGAGGCACGAAGGCCAGGGGAGCAAACGGG